CAACAUGGUGAAAGGGGUCGGAAACUCUCUUCCAGCUCCUCCAGGCUCAUUUUCAUCAUGGCUACUCAGGAGGGAGGAAUGAACAAUAAGGAGGCACAAUGAACCAGAAAUUGAGUAUACAUGUUGAAUUUAAUCCUCACCAUGACCUUGUCAGGUUUGUGCUUUGAAGAUUCUGAAUGGUGUGCAUGAAGUGUCUCCGUGAAAGAGAAGACUCAACUGACUAGAACAUUCAUUGCCCUACUUCUUUUAAACAAA
Molecule: long non-coding RNA, 255 nt
Organism: Suricata suricatta (meerkat)
Lineage: Eukaryota; Metazoa; Chordata; Mammalia; Carnivora; Herpestidae
Exons: 3
Source: RefSeq, a predicted model, not a curated record